Molecule: transfer RNA, 73 nt
Filed under: Acropora cervicornis
Lineage: Eukaryota; Metazoa; Cnidaria; Anthozoa; Scleractinia; Acroporidae
Description: tRNA-Lys
Source: RNAcentral
GGCUUCAUAGCUUGGUUGGUUAGAGCAUCGCACUCUUUUCGCGGGGUCACAUGUUCAAGCCAGGUUAAAGUCC